This 460-nucleotide ribosomal RNA is filed under the name uncultured bacterium. Its description in RNAcentral is "bacterial SSU rRNA". It matches the Rfam family "Bacterial small subunit ribosomal RNA", at positions 339 to 796 of the family's 1533-position model. The record is from RNAcentral.
CUACGGGAGGCAGCAGUAAGGAAUAUUGGGCAAUGGUCGGAAGACUGACCCAGCCAUGCCGCGUGCAGGAAGAAGGCCCUAUGGGUUGUAAACUGCUUUAGCCAGGGGCUAAACCUACCGAUGCGUUGGUAGCUGAAGGUACCUGGAGAAUAAGCAUCGGCUAACUCCGUGCCAGCAGCCGCGGUAAUACGGAGGAUGCGAGCGUUAUCCGGAUUUACUGGGUUUAAAGGGUGCGCAGGCGGUUGUUUAAGUCAGGGGUGAAAGCCCUAUGCUCAACAUAGGGAUUGCCUUUGAUACUGAACGGCUAGAGUGAAGAUGGAGUGGGUGGAAUGUGUUGUGUAGCGGUGAAAUGCAUAGAUAUAACACAGAACACCGAUCGCGAAGGCAGCUCACUAAUUUUCAACUGACGCUCAUGCACGAAAGCGUGGGGAUCAAACAGGAUUAGAAACCCGGGUAGUCC